AAGAAGUCAGGCCACUACAAGUGCCAUAGCUUGAGCAAACUAUGCAGCCUGUAGCUCCACCUGGGAAGGUGUAAAAAAUCUGGGAGGCCACAAACCAUGGAAGCUGUACGCAUGGCGUAGUGGACUAGCGGUUAGAGGAGACCCCUCC
RNAcentral lists this long non-coding RNA (148 nucleotides) under dengue virus type 2. Its description in RNAcentral is "Dengue virus type 2 partial sfRNA2". The stretch from base 83 to 148 matches the Rfam family "Flavivirus DB element". Lineage: Riboviria; Orthornavirae; Kitrinoviricota; Flasuviricetes; Amarillovirales; Flaviviridae. The record is from RNAcentral.